RNAcentral lists this ribosomal RNA (402 nucleotides) under uncultured bacterium. RNAcentral describes it as "bacterial SSU rRNA". It matches the Rfam family "Bacterial small subunit ribosomal RNA", at positions 355 to 774 of the family's 1533-position model. The record is from RNAcentral.
UGGGGAAUCUUGCACAAUGGGGGCAACCCUGAUGCAGCGACGCCGCGUGAGCGAUGAAGCCCUUCGGGGCGUAAAGCUCUUUCGACCGGAACGAUAAUGACGGUACCGGGAGAAGAAGCUGCGGCUAACUACGUGCCAGCAGCCGCGGUAAUACGUAGGCAGCAAGCGUUGUUCGGAGUUACUGGGCGUAAAGAGUGCGUAGGCGGUGUUCUAAGUUCGGUGUGAAAUCUCCCGGCUUAACUGGGAGGGUGCGCCGAAGACUGGGAAGCUGGAGUGUGGGAAAGGCAGGCGGAAUUCCUGGUGUUGCGGUGAAGUGCGUAGAUAUCAGGAGGAACACCGGCGGUGUAGACGGCUUGCUAGACCAUAACUGACGCUGAGGCACGAAAGCGUGGGUAGCAAACA